This 440-nucleotide ribosomal RNA is filed under the name uncultured bacterium. Its description in RNAcentral is "partial 16S ribosomal RNA". It matches the Rfam family "Bacterial small subunit ribosomal RNA", at positions 338 to 795 of the family's 1533-position model. The record is from RNAcentral.
ACUACGGGUGGCAGCAGUGGGGGAUAUUGCACAAUGGGGGAAACCCUGAUGCAGCGACGCCGCGUGUGGGAAGACGGUCCUCUGGAUUGUAAACCACUGUCCCCAGGGACGAAGAUGACGGUACCUGGGGAGGAAGCUCCGCGUAACUACGUGCCAGCAGCCGCGUGAAUAUGUAGGGAGCGAGCGUUGUUCGGAAUUACUGGGUGUGAAGGGAGCGUAGGCGGGACUGCAAGUUGGGGGUCAAAUCUACCGGCUCAACCGGUAGCCGCACUCGAAACUGCAGUUCUUGAGUGAAGUAGAGGCAGGCGGAAUUCCGAGUGUAGCGGUGAAAUGCGUAGAUAUUAGGAGGAACACCAGUGGCGAAGGCGGCCUGCUGGGCUUUUACUGACGCUGAGGCUCGAAAGUGUGGGGAGCAAACAGGAUUAGAUACCCGGGUAGUC